AAUGGGUCAGCGACUUAUAUUCUGUAGCAAGGUUAACCGAAUAGGGGAGCCGAAGGGAAACCGAGUCUUAACUGGGCGUUAAGUUGCAGGGUAUAGACCCGAAACCCGGUGAUCUAGCCAUGGGCAGGUUGAAGGUUGGGUAACACUAACUGGAGGACCGAACCGACUAAUGUUGAAAAAUUAGCGGAUGACUUGUGGCUGGGGGUGAAAGGCCAAUCAAACCGGGAGAUAGCUGGUUCUCCCCGAAAGCUAUUUAGGUAGCGCCUCGUGAAUUCAUCUCCGGGGGUAGAGCACUGUUUCGGCAAGGGGGUCAUCCCGACUUACCAACCCGAUGCAAACUGCGAAUACCGGAGAAUGUUAUCACGGGAGACACACGGCGGGUGCUAACGUCCGUCGUGAAGAGGGAAACAACCCAGACCGCCAGCUAAGGUCCCAAAGUCAUGGUUAAGUGGGAAACGAUGUGGGAAGGCCCAGACAGCCAGGAUGUUGGCUUAGAAGCAGCCAUCAUUUAAAGAAAGCGUAAUAGCUCACUGGUCGAGUCGGCCUGCGCGGAAGAUGUAACGGGGCUAAACCAUGCACCGAAGCUGCGGCAGCGACACUGUGUGUUGUUGGGUAGGGGAGCGUUCUGUAAGCCUGUGAAGGUGUACUGUGAGGUAUGCUGGAGGUAUCAGAAGUGCGAAUGCUGACAUAAGUAACGAUAAAGCGGGUGAAAAGCCCGCUCGCCGGAAGACCAAGGGUUCCUGUCCAACGUUAAUCGGGGCAGGGUGAGUCGACCCCUAAGGCGAGGCCGAAAGGCGUAGUCG
RNAcentral lists this ribosomal RNA (803 nucleotides) under Escherichia coli. RNAcentral describes it as "partial 23S ribosomal RNA". It matches the Rfam family "Bacterial large subunit ribosomal RNA", at positions 614 to 1417 of the family's 2925-position model. The record is from RNAcentral. Lineage: Bacteria; Pseudomonadati; Pseudomonadota; Gammaproteobacteria; Enterobacterales; Enterobacteriaceae.